Molecule: long non-coding RNA, 442 nt
Organism: Ictalurus punctatus (channel catfish)
Lineage: Eukaryota; Metazoa; Chordata; Actinopteri; Siluriformes; Ictaluridae
Source: Ensembl
AGUAGUAUGAGGAGGAGUAGGAGGAGUAGUAGUAGUAGGAGGAGGAGUAGAAGUAGUAGUAGUAAGAGGAGGAGGAGGAGGACAAAUAAUAGUAGUAGUAGUAGGAGGAGUAUUAGUAGGAGGAGGAGGAGUUGUAGUAGUAGUAGUAGGAGGAGUAGUAGUAGUAGUAGUAGUAUUAGUAGGAGGAGGAGUAGAAGUAGUAGUAGUAUGAGGAGGAGUAGGAGUAGUAGUAGUAGGAGUAGUAGUAGGAGGAAGGAGAGGAGGAGGAGGAGGAAGAGGAGUAGAAGUAGUAGUAGUAGGAGUAGUAGUAGUAGUAGUAUGAGGAGGAGGAGGAAGAGGAGUAGAAGUAGUAGUAGUAGUAGUAUGAGGAGGAGUAGGAGGAGUAGUAGUAGGAGGAGGGGGAGGAGUAGAAGUAGUAGUAGUAAGAAGAGGAGGAGGAGGA